GCCGGGGUGCCCGAGCGGCCCAAGGGGGUGGGCUCGAGACCCACUGGGGCUCCCACCCCGCGCGGGUUCGAAUCCCGCCCCCGGCG
This 86-nucleotide transfer RNA is filed under the name Desulfurococcaceae archaeon. RNAcentral's name for it is "tRNA-Ser". It matches the Rfam family "tRNA". Rfam says of the family: Transfer RNA (tRNA) molecules are approximately 80 nucleotides in length. Their secondary structure includes four short double-helical elements and three loops (D, anti-codon, and T loops). Lineage: Archaea; Thermoproteati; Thermoproteota; Thermoprotei; Desulfurococcales; Desulfurococcaceae. RNAcentral also lists the same sequence under 2 other names. The record is from RNAcentral.